UAAUACGGAGGGUGCAAGCGUUAUCCGGAUUUAUUGGGUUUAAAGGGUCCGCAGGCGGGCUUGUAAGUCAGGGGUGAAAUCCGGCAGCUUAACUGUCGAACUGCCUUUGAUACUGCAGGUCUUGAGUGGGAAUGAAGCAGCUGGAAUGUGUGGUGUAGCGGUGAAAUGCAUAGAUAUCACACAGAACACCGAUAGCGAAGGCAGGUUGCUAAUUCUCAACUGACGCUGAGGGACGAAAGCGUGGGGAGCGAACAGGAUUAGAUACCCUGGUAGUCCACGCCGUAAACGAUGGAUACUGUCUGUUGGUUUGUAAGAAUCAGUGGAUAAGCGAAAGUGAUAAGUAUCCCACCUGGGGAGUACGUUCGCAAGAAUGAAACUCAAAUGAAUUGACGG
RNAcentral lists this ribosomal RNA (393 nucleotides) under uncultured bacterium. Its description in RNAcentral is "bacterial SSU rRNA". It matches the Rfam family "Bacterial small subunit ribosomal RNA", at positions 521 to 916 of the family's 1533-position model. The record is from RNAcentral.